This 301-nucleotide ribosomal RNA is filed under the name uncultured bacterium. Its description in RNAcentral is "partial 16S ribosomal RNA". It matches the Rfam family "Bacterial small subunit ribosomal RNA", at positions 509 to 807 of the family's 1533-position model. The record is from RNAcentral.
CAGUCGCCACGGUAAUACGAAGGGUGCAAGCGUUACUCGGAAUUACUGGGCGUAAAGCGUGCGUAGGUGGUGGUUUAAGUCCGUUGUGAAAGCCCUGGGCUCAACCUGGGAAUUGCAGUGGAUACUGGGUCACUAGAGUGUGGUAGAGGAUAGUGGAAUUUCCGGUGUAGCAGUGAAAUGCGUAGAGAUCGGAAGGAACAUCUGUGGCGAAGGCGACUAUCUGGGCCAACACUGACACUGCGGCACGAAAGCGUGGGGAGCAAACAGGAUUAGAUACCCCGGUAGUCCCUGUCUCUUAUAC